Molecule: ribosomal RNA, 198 nt
Filed under: Triticum aestivum (bread wheat)
Lineage: Eukaryota; Viridiplantae; Streptophyta; Magnoliopsida; Poales; Poaceae
Description: partial small subunit ribosomal RNA
Source: RNAcentral
AUGGGUGGAAUGUCUUUCGAUGUGCCUUCUCACACACAUUCCCAUGAAGAUGCCGUUGAAGAUCUUGCUAACACCGUCGGAGCUUCACGUGAUGCGGUGCGUGAUGAGGAGAGAGAGGAAGAUUCAUCUUCGGAGGCGGAAGAAUCGUCUUCAGAAGAUGAGGACGAAGACGAGGAAGAUGAUUCAUGUAUUCAGUAA